GACGAACGCUGGCGGCGUGCUUAACACAUGCAAGUCGAACGGAAAGGUCCUGCUUUUGUGGGGUGCUCGAGUGGCGAACGGGUGAGUAACACGUGAGUAACCUGCCCUUGACUUUGGGAUAACUUCAGGAAACUGGGGCUAAUACCGGAUAGGAGCUCCUGCUGCAUGGUGGGGGUUGGAAAGUUUCGGCGGUUGGGGAUGGACUCGCGGCUUAUCAGCUUGUUGGUGGGGUAGUGGCUUACCAAGGCUUUGACGGGUAGCCGGCCUGAGGGGGUGACCGGCCACAUUGGGACUGAGAUACGGCCCAGACUCCUACGGGAGGCAGCAGUGGGGAAUAUUGCACAAUGGGCGGAAGCCUGAUGCAGCAACGCCGCGUGCGGGAUGACGGCCUUCGGGUUGUAAACCGCUUUCGCCUGUGACGAAGCGUGAGUGACGGUAAUGGGUAAAGAAGCACCGGCUAACUACGUG
RNAcentral lists this ribosomal RNA (468 nucleotides) under uncultured bacterium. RNAcentral's name for it is "partial 16S ribosomal RNA". It matches the Rfam family "Bacterial small subunit ribosomal RNA", at positions 28 to 507 of the family's 1533-position model. The record is from RNAcentral.